ACUUUUGAGAUUUUUCUUCGGUGCCUAACCGUAAAGGAGGGUCCGGUCAACGAUGCAACAGUUAAACAACGCACCCGGAAGGUUAAGGAGUA
Cucurbita moschata (crookneck pumpkin) is the source of this 92-nucleotide long non-coding RNA. RefSeq lists it as uncharacterized. The record is from RefSeq and is a predicted model, not a curated record. NCBI's taxonomy places the organism in Eukaryota, Viridiplantae, Streptophyta, Magnoliopsida, Cucurbitales, Cucurbitaceae. The transcript has 3 exons.